GUGGGGAAUAUUGCACAAUGGGCGAAAGCCUGAUGCAGCGACGCCGCGUGAGGGAUGACGGCCUUCGGGUUGUAAACCUCUUUCAGUAGGGAAGAAGCGAAAGUGACGGUACCUGCAGAAGAAGCGCCGGCUAACUACGUGCCAGCAGCCGCGGUAAUACGUAGGGCGCAAGCGUUAUCCGGAUUUAUUGGGCGUAAAGAGCUCGUAGGCGGUUUGUCGCGUCUGCCGUGAAAGUCCGAGGCUCAACCUCGGAUCUGCGGUGGGUACGGGCAGACUAGAGUGAUGUAGGGGAGACUGGAAUUCCUGGUGUAGCGGUGAAAUGCGCAGAUAUCAGGAGGAACACCGAUGGCGAAGGCAGGUCUCUGGGCAUUUACUGACGCUGAGGAGCGAAAGCAUGGGGAGCGAACAGGAUUAGAAACCCCAGUAGUCC
RNAcentral lists this ribosomal RNA (430 nucleotides) under uncultured Glutamicibacter sp. RNAcentral describes it as "bacterial SSU rRNA". It matches the Rfam family "Bacterial small subunit ribosomal RNA", at positions 354 to 796 of the family's 1533-position model. Lineage: Bacteria; Bacillati; Actinomycetota; Actinomycetes; Micrococcales; Micrococcaceae. The record is from RNAcentral.